Molecule: non-coding RNA, 928 nt
Organism: Camellia sinensis
Lineage: Eukaryota; Viridiplantae; Streptophyta; Magnoliopsida; Ericales; Theaceae
Source: RefSeq, a predicted model, not a curated record
UGUCAUAUUUCAAACCGCAUCCGCCCGCAUUAUGUUUGCGAAACCGCCCAUUUAUAUGCGGGUUGGGCGGAUUGGGCGGUUUGAGCGGUUCGGAUAAACCGUUGCCCACCCCUAGGCACAAGCACUUGUGGUAGCUGCCUUAGGAGUUGAUGAUACUGAAGCAACUGAUGGACUCCUCGUCAGGAAGCUGGUUCAACAGUAUCACACCUACAGGCAUUACGGGAGGAGCUUGACAGAUUGGCAUUUGAUGAGGUUACUUGGGAUCCAUAUCGAGAUUGCCGUCAACAUCACCCAUGUCAUAAGAUCACAUUCUACAGCGGUUGUUUGAAGUGUUUGGAUGUAGUUGAACCCUCUCAUCCUGAAAGGAUUCUUAGACAGUUUGGUAGGGUUCAAACCAUCCCACCUGUGCCACUCGACCCUGUUCGUGCUGUUAGAGGUGUCACAACAGGCCGAUAUAGAGUGAUGUAUCAGUAUCUUGAUUAGAUAUGAGAGAGUUGAGAUAAUCAUGUUUUAUUUACUCGAAGGAGGAGUACCGUAGUCAGACGUCCAGCUGAUUGUGUUGAUGGUUACAUGCAGUGGUAUACAAGUAUCACACACUUAUAUAUCCAGCACCCCACACAUCGGUCUAGUUUUAACCUACGUGCACACAAUAGUCGAUCUGAUGUGCAAGAUGCUGAGAUUACGCAUCCUAUCAUCGAGGCAGGCCAUGAUGCUAGUGUUCGUGAGCCAGAUAGGUUAUAUGAGGCCAUUGAGAGGAUGACACGUGUUCUUCCGGGUCAACAAAUCGAUGAGGCUGGACCUAGUUCUAUUCCAUUUAGAACAUACAAUCGUAAAAGACGAGUAGAUGAUAGGUAGUUGGUUUUGUGGUAAUAUUGUUUUGUUAUUUUGUAAUGGAAGAUGAGUACUCUUUUGAUGUUUUUUUUUUUUU